AGUGAACGCUGGCGGUAGGCCUAACACAUGCAAGUCGAACGGCAGCACAGUAAGAGCUUGCUCUUACGGGUGGCGAGUGGCGGACGGGUGAGGAAUACAUCGGAAUCUACUUUUUCGUGGGGGAUAACGUAGGGAAACUUACGCUAAUACCGCAUACGACCUACGGGUGAAAGCAGGGGAUCUUCGGACCUUGCGCGAUUGAAUGAGCCGAUGUCGGAUUAGCUAGUUGGCGGGGUAAAGGCCCACCAAGGCGACGAUCCGUAGCUGGUCUGAGAGGAUGAUCGGCCACACUGGAACUGAGACACGGUCAAGACUCCUACGGGAGGCAGCAGUGGGGAAUAUUGGACAAUGGGCGCAAGCCUGAUCCAGCCAUACCGCGUGGGUGAAGAAGGCCUUCGGGUUGUAAAGACCUUUUGUUGGGAAAGAAAAGCAGCAGGUUAAUACCCCGCUGUUCUGACGGUACCCAAAGAAUAAGCACCGGCUAACUUCGUG
This 492-nucleotide ribosomal RNA is filed under the name uncultured bacterium. RNAcentral describes it as "partial 16S ribosomal RNA". It matches the Rfam family "Bacterial small subunit ribosomal RNA", at positions 29 to 507 of the family's 1533-position model. The record is from RNAcentral.